GUUUAGUCUCUAAUUUCUGUAAUAAUAUAUUUGCAGGCUCAAUUAAUACUAUAAUUUUAACACUCGGUAUAGAUGAAAUACCUUCUAAAAAUGGCCAUCCUAUAUUAAUUAAUAUGAUUGUGAACAAUAUUAUGAAUAUCAAAAAUUAUUAUUAAUAUUUAAAAUAAAAAAAAAAAAAAAAAAAAAAAAAAAGAAAAUGAACUUACCAGUAGUAAACAUAUCACUUCUUCUUAAAUUUGUAAGUACACCAAGAAAUUCCCAAGAUUGAUAUGGAAAGAAACUGAAAUAUACUCCAGCUAUAAAUAAAUAAAUAUAUUUUAUAUAUAUAAUUUUUUAUUACAAAAAAAUAAAACAAAAAAUACUUACCACCAGAAUCUCCAGUAAAUACUUCACCGUUAGCAGCAACAACUACAUUUGAUACAGUUUGUGGAUUUUGAACAAUAGUUGAAACUAUUCCAUUUCCUUCAUUAAUAACAGUUUCAGGAUUUCUUCCGGGAACAAUAAUUGAAAUUAUAUUUGAAUUACAAUUUCCUGCACAAAAAUUUGUAUUCAUUAUAAUCAAAAUAUAAUUCUUC
This 575-nucleotide non-coding RNA is filed under the name Cryptosporidium parvum. The record is from RNAcentral. Lineage: Eukaryota; Apicomplexa; Conoidasida; Eucoccidiorida; Cryptosporidiidae.